AGUAAAGNGCGCACGGGUNAGUACGCGUGGGUAAUCUACCCUCGAAUUUGGAAUAACUUCGCGAAAGCGGGGCUAAUACCGGAUAAAUAUUAAUUGAUCUUCGGAAAUAUUGAUCAAAGGUGGCCUCUACAUGUAAGCUUCCGUUUGAGGAUGAGCUCGCGUACCAUUAGCUUGUUGGUAGGGUAAUGGCCUACCAAGGCUACGAUGGUUAGCUGGUCUGAGAGGAUGAUCAGCCACACUGGAACUGACACACGGUCCAGACUCCUACGGGAGGCAGCAGUGAGGAAUUUUGCGCAAUGGGGGAAACCCUGACGCAGCAACGCCGCGUGAGUGAUGAAGGCUUUCGGGUCGUAAAGCUCUGUCAAGUGGGAAGAAAAUACAAAUUGAUAAUACCCUUUUGUACUGACGGUACCACUGAAGGAAGCACCGGCUAACUCCGUGCCAGCAGCCGCGGUAAUACGGGGGGUGCAAGCGUUAUUCGGAUUUACUGGGCGUAAAGGGCGCGUAGGCGGUCUCUUAAGUCAGAUGUGAAAGCCCGGGGCUUAACCCCGGAAGUGCAUCUGAAACUGGGGGACUUGAGUAUGGGAGAGGGAAGUGGAAUUCCUGGUGUAGCGGUGAAAUGCGUAGAUAUCAGGAGGAACACCUGUGGCGAAGGCGACUUCCUGGACCAAUACUGACGCUGAGGCGCGAAGGCGUGGGGAGCAAACAGGAUUAGAUACCCUGGUAGUCCACGCAGUAAACGGUGAUCACUAGGUGUAGCGGGUAUUGACCCCUGCUGUGCCGCAGCUAACGCAUUAAGUGAUCCGCCUGGGGAGUACGGUCGCAAGGUUAAAACUCAAAUGAAUUGACG
This 850-nucleotide ribosomal RNA is filed under the name uncultured bacterium. Its description in RNAcentral is "bacterial SSU rRNA". It matches the Rfam family "Bacterial small subunit ribosomal RNA", at positions 90 to 915 of the family's 1533-position model. The record is from RNAcentral.